GGGGUUGUAGCUCAGUGGUAGAGUGCUUGCCUUGCAUACAUGAGGCUCUGGGUUUGAUCCACAGCACCA
This 69-nucleotide transfer RNA is filed under the name Ictidomys tridecemlineatus (thirteen-lined ground squirrel). Its description in RNAcentral is "Spermophilus tridecemlineatus (thirteen-lined ground squirrel) tRNA". It matches the Rfam family "tRNA". Rfam says of the family: Transfer RNA (tRNA) molecules are approximately 80 nucleotides in length. Their secondary structure includes four short double-helical elements and three loops (D, anti-codon, and T loops). The record is from Rfam by way of RNAcentral. Lineage: Eukaryota; Metazoa; Chordata; Mammalia; Rodentia; Sciuridae.